UACGUAGGGGGCAAGCGUUGUCCGGAUUUAUUGGGCGUAAAGAGCGUGUAGGCGGCCAUACAGGUCAGCUGUGAAAACUCGAGGCUCAACCUCGAGACGUCGGUUGAAACCGUUUGGCUAGAGUCCGGAAGAGGAGAGUGGAAUUCCCGGUGUAGCGGUGAAAUGCGCAGAUAUCGGGAAGAACACCCGUGGCGAAGGCGGCUCUCUGGGACGGUACUGACGCUGAGACGCGAAAGCGUGGGGAGCGAACAGG
Molecule: ribosomal RNA, 253 nt
Filed under: uncultured bacterium
Lineage: Bacteria
Description: partial 16S ribosomal RNA
Rfam family: Bacterial small subunit ribosomal RNA
Source: RNAcentral